UACAGAGGGUGCAAGCGUUAAUCGGAAUUACUGGGCGUAAAGCGUGCGUAGGCGGUCUGUUAAGUCCGUUGUGAAAGCCCUGGGCUCAACCUGGGAAUUGCAGUGGAUACUGGCAGGCUAGAGUACGGUAGAGGAUGGUGGAAUUCCCGGUGUAGCGGUGAAAUGCGUAGAGAUCGGGAGGAACACCCGUGGCGAAGGCGGCCAUCUGGACCAGUACUGACGCUGAGGCACGAAAGCGUGGGGAGCAAACAGG
This 253-nucleotide ribosomal RNA is filed under the name uncultured bacterium. Its description in RNAcentral is "partial 16S ribosomal RNA". It matches the Rfam family "Bacterial small subunit ribosomal RNA", at positions 524 to 776 of the family's 1533-position model. The record is from RNAcentral.